CACGUAGGGGGCGAGCGUUGUCCGGAAUCAUUGGGCGUAAAGAGCUCGUAGGCGGUUUGUUGCGUCGGCUGUGAAAUCCCGAGGCUCAACCUCGGGUCUGCAGUCGAUACGAGCAAACUAGAGUGUUGCAGGGGAGACUGGAAUUCCUGGUGUAGCGGUGAAAUGCGCAGAUAUCAGGAGGAACACCGGUGGCGAAGGCGGGUCUCUGGGCAACAACUGACGCUGAGGAGCGAAAGCGUGGGGAGCGAACAGG
Molecule: ribosomal RNA, 253 nt
Filed under: uncultured bacterium
Lineage: Bacteria
Description: partial 16S ribosomal RNA
Rfam family: Bacterial small subunit ribosomal RNA
Source: RNAcentral